Molecule: unclassified non-coding RNA, 206 nt
Filed under: Hevea brasiliensis (rubber tree)
Lineage: Eukaryota; Viridiplantae; Streptophyta; Magnoliopsida; Malpighiales; Euphorbiaceae
Source: RNAcentral
UAGCCGCCCGCCUCUUCGGCAACAUGCGCAUUGAGCGUGCCGAUGAAAUCAUCGGCCGCGAGUUCGUCGCAGAACAGGCGCGCUUCUUCCCGCGCCGAUUCCAUCGCAAAGCGCCGCAGCAGGAUCAGCAGAGGUUCGGAGACUGUUUCGGCGGUUUCGCACUGGGUGAGCACGCGCUCGACCAUGCGGCGGCGAAGCCGCGUCGC